UAAAGCAAGAAAGGGCGUAUGGGGAAUGCCUAGGCACACUCCGGCGAAGAAGGACGCAGCAAACAGCGAAAUGCGACGGUGAGCGGUAAGCACGUGAAGAGCCGUCGAUAUCCGAAUGGGGGAACCCACACGGAGUCAUAUCCGUGUAUCACAUGUCGAAUACAUAGACAUGAUGAGGCGAGACGCAGGGAACUGAAACAUCUAAGUACCUGCAGGAAGAGAAAAUAAGAAUGAUUUUCUGAGUAGCGGCGAGCGAAAGGGAAAGAGCCCAAACCGAUCUUAGGAUCGGGGUAGUAGGAUCAUCGAGAAAUCUGACAGAGGAUCAUAGAGGAAUCACAUGGGAAGGUGAGCGAGAGAGGGUGAGAGCCCCGUACUCGAAAUGAGAGACUGGAGAGAGAUGACACCUGAGUAGGGCGGGACACGAGAAAUCCUGUCUGAAUCAGCCGGGACCAUCCGGCAAGGCUAAAUACGAGAGAGUGACCGAUAGUGAACCAGUACCGUGAGGGAAAGGUGAAAAGAACCCCGGGAGGGGAGUGAAAGAGAACCUGAAACCAUAUGCCUACAAGAAGUCAGAGCCCGUUAAAGGGUGAUGGCGUGCCUUUUGUAGAAUGAACCGGCGAGUUACUGUAUGGAGCGAGGUUAAGCAGGAUAUGCGGAGCCGAAGCGAAAGCGAGUCUUAAGAGGGCGAGAGUUGCAUGCAGUAGACCCGAAACCGGGUGAUCUAGCCAUGACCAGGUUGAAGUUGGGGUAAAACCCGAUGGAGGACCGAACCGACCCCCGUUGAAACGUUGGCGGAUGAGUUGUGGCUAGGGGUGAAAUUCCAAUCGAACCCGGAGAUAGCUGGUUCUCCCCGAAAUAGCUUUAGGGCUAGCGUCGAGGUAAGUUGCGUGAAGGUAGAGCACUGAAUAUGUGAUGGCCCCAUCUCGGGGUACUGAGCAUAAUCAAACUGCGAAUGUCACGCCAACAUGCUCGGCAGUCAGACAGCGGGUGAUAAGGUCCGUUGUCAAGAGGGAAACAGCCCAGACCAUCAGCUAAGGUCCCAAAAUGUAUGCUAAGUGGAAAAGGAUGUGGAGAUGUACAGACAACUAGGAGGUUGGCUCAGAAGCAGCCAUCCUUUAAAGAGUGCGUAACAGCUCACUAGUCGAAUGACUCUGCGCCGAUAAUUUACCGGGGCUAAGCAUACUACCGAAGCUAUGGAUCCCAAGGGAUGGUAGGGGAGCGUUCCAUGAACGGAGAAGUACGACCGAAAGGACGUGUGGAGAUCAUGGAAGAGAGAAUGCCGGUGUGAGUAGCGGAACGUGGGUGAGAAUCCCACGCACCGAAAACCCAAGGUUUCCAGAGGAAGGUUCGUCCGCUCUGGGUAAGUCGGGACCUAAGGCGAGGCCGAAAGGCGUAGUCGAUGGACAACAGGUAGAGAUUCCUGUACCCGUAUAUAUGUGAAGGAAUGACGGAGAGAGGAAGCUGCAGCCAGCGGCUGGAAGAGCUGGUGCAAGCGAGAUAUCGGGAUGGCAGGCAAAUCCACCAUCCGAAACGAGAAGGCGUGAAGCGUACGGAAAGCUACGGCGAGUACGGAAGGCAGUGGAGGAACUUCCAAGAAAAGUUUCUAACGUUAAGUAUAUAUGGCCCGUACCGAAAAUGGACACACAUGGGUGAGGAGAGAAUCCUAAGGUGAGCGAGAGAACUAUAGCUAAGGAACUCUGCAAAAUGACUCCGUAACUUAGGGAGAAGGAGUGCUCAUAGAGAUAUGAGCCGCAGUGAAACGGCCCAAGCGACUGUUUACCAAAAACACAGCUCUCUGCUAAGCCGCAAGGCGAAGUAUAGGGGGUGACGCCUGCCCGGUGCUGGAAGGUUAAGGGGAGGGGUUAACGCAAGUGAAGCCCUGAACUGAAGCCCCAGUAAACGGCGGCCGUAACUAUAACGGUCCUAAGGUAGCGAAAUUCCUUGUCAGGUAAGUUCUGACCCGCACGAAAGGCGUAAUGGCGUAAUGACUUGGGCACUGUCUCAACAACAAAUCCGGCGAAAUUGUAGUGCAAGUGAAGAUGCUCGCUACCCGCGAUUGGACGGAAAGACCCCGUAGAGCUUUACUGUAGCUUAGCAUUGAAUUCCGGUAUUGUCUGUACAGGAUAGGUGGGAGACUGGGAAACUAGGGCGUCAGCCUUAGUGGAGUCAACCUUGGGAUACCACCCUGACAGUACUGGGGUUCUAACAGGACGCCAUGAAUCUGGUGACUGGACAUUGUUAGGUGGGCAGUUUGACUGGGGCGGUCGCCUCCUAAAAAGUAACGGAGGCGCCCAAAGGUUCCCUCAGAACGGUCGGAAA
Molecule: ribosomal RNA, 2319 nt
Filed under: marine sediment metagenome
Description: bacterial LSU rRNA
Rfam family: Bacterial large subunit ribosomal RNA
Source: RNAcentral